Molecule: ribosomal RNA, 721 nt
Filed under: uncultured prokaryote
Description: bacterial SSU rRNA
Rfam family: Bacterial small subunit ribosomal RNA
Source: RNAcentral
GAUGAACGCUAGCGGGAGGCCUAACACAUGCAAGCCGAGCGGUAGAGAUCUUUCGGGAUCUUGAGAGCGGCGUACGGGUGCGGAACACGUGUGCAACCUGCCUUUAUCUGGGGGAUAGCCUUUCGAAAGGAAGAUUAAUACCCCAUAAUAUACUGAAUGGCAUCAUUCGGUAUUGAAAACUCCGGUGGAUAGAGAUGGGCACGCGCAAGAUUAGAUAGUUGGUGAGGUAACGGCUCACCAAGUCUACGAUCUUUAGGGGGCCUGAGAGGGUGAUCCCCCACACUGGUACUGAGACACGGACCAGACUCCUACGGGAGGCAGCAGUGAGGAAUAUUGGACAAUGGGUGAGAGCCUGAUCCAGCCAUCCCGCGUGAAGGACGACGGCCCUAUGGGUUGUAAACUUCUUUUGUAUAGGGAUAAACCUACCCUCGUGAGGGUAGCUGAAGGUACUAUACGAAUAAGCACCGGCUAACUCCGUGCCAGCAGCCGCGGUAAUACGGAGGGUGCAAGCGUUAUCCGGAUUUAUUGGGUUUAAAGGGUCCGUAGGCGGAUCUGUAAGUCAGUGGUGAAAUCUCACAGCUUAACUGUGAAACUGCCAUUGAUACUGCAGGUCUUGAGUGUUGUUGAAGUANCUGGAAUAANUAGUGUAGCGGUGAAAUGCAUAGAUAUUACUUAGAACACCAAUUGCNAAGGCAGGUUACUAAGCAACAACUGACGCUGA